RNAcentral lists this ribosomal RNA (465 nucleotides) under Vreelandella stevensii. Its description in RNAcentral is "partial 16S ribosomal RNA". It matches the Rfam family "Bacterial small subunit ribosomal RNA", at positions 338 to 795 of the family's 1533-position model. Lineage: Bacteria; Pseudomonadati; Pseudomonadota; Gammaproteobacteria; Oceanospirillales; Halomonadaceae. The record is from RNAcentral.
CCUACGGGCGGCAGCAGUGGGGAAUAUUGGACAAUGGGGGCAACCCUGAUCCAGCCAUGCCGCGUGUGUGAAGAAGGCCCUCGGGUUGUAAAGCACUUUCAGUGAGGAAGAACGCCUGGUGGUUAAUACCCAUCAGGAAAGACAUCACUCACAGAAGAAGCACCGGCUAACUCCGUGCCAGCAGCCGCGGUAAUACGGAGGGUGCGAGCGUUAAUCGGAAUUACUGGGCGUAAAGCGCGCGUAGGUGGCUUGAUAAGCCGGUUGUGAAAGCCCCGGGCUCAACCUGGGAACGGCAUCCGGAACUGUCAAGCUAGAGUGCAGGAGAGGAAGGUAGAAUUCCCGGUGUAGCGGUGAAAUGCGUAGAGAUCGGGAGGAAUACCAGUGGCGAAGGCGGCCUUCUGGACUGCCACUGACACUGAGGUGCGAAAGCGUGGGUAGCAAACAGGAUUAGAUACCCCAGUAGUC